Molecule: ribosomal RNA, 240 nt
Filed under: uncultured bacterium
Lineage: Bacteria
Description: partial 16S ribosomal RNA
Rfam family: Bacterial small subunit ribosomal RNA
Source: RNAcentral
UGGCGAACGGGUGAGUAACGCGUGAGGAACCUGCCUCAAAGAGGGGGACAACAGUUGGAAACGACUGCUAAUACCGCAUAAGCCCACGACCCGGCAUCGGGAAGAGGGAAAAGGAGCAAUCCGCUUUGAGAUGGCCUCGCGUCCGAUUAGCUGGUUGGUGAGGUAACGGCCCACCAAGGCGACGAUCGGUAGCCGGACUGAGAGGUUGAACGGCCACAUUGGGACUGAGACACGGCCCAG